This 734-nucleotide long non-coding RNA is filed under the name Homo sapiens (human). RNAcentral describes it as "HSALNT0210540". Lineage: Eukaryota; Metazoa; Chordata; Mammalia; Primates; Hominidae. The record is from RNAcentral.
AGCGAGUCCAGUCCGUGGCUGCUGACUCUUUACAGCACUCUACUUGGAGUCUGUAAGCCGCCCGGACUUUCAGCCGGACUGACAAGUGGAGUAUCUGUGUCAGUGUACGUUACUCAUCCGUCGUUGGGUCAGGGUCUGCGGGAUGGACCCCCGCAAUGUACAGUGAAACAGCUGCCUCGUUCACCCCUGCAAGAGAAGAGAGGUUUAUUUGGUGGAGAAAUUGAACUAGAGGCUCCAUACUGAAGGACACCCAAAGCAUAGCAGGAGAGCAAGAGAGGCUGGCACUAAAAUAGAGCUAUCCACUUAUUCCAGUUCAGUGUUGAAGAUGGCUGGAGCCCAUCCCAGUAGCUCAGGGCAGAAGGCAGGAACCAACCCUGGAGACCAUCAAGCUUCAGAUGAUCAGGCAACAAAGGCUCCAGCCAGUUGCAGGUGAAGACAGCACCCCUGGCCUUCAAGGAGCUACCCUGCCUUCUCUAGACAGAGCAGGACGAGAGUUCCAUGAUCCCCAUCAGACGUGCCUUGCUUCCCCUCACCUACCACCAUGAUUUAAGUUUCCCGAGACCUCUUCAGCCAUGUGGAACUAAGCCGUAGGGGAUUGUUCUCCAGUCUUGACUUUGAGAACUUGGUAGAGCUCCUGAAGGCUCACCUGAUAAGAGAUGUAUGUCACAAUCUGCUCACCCUGGCAUUUCUCUAAAUAGAAGGUCCUCUCUUGCUCGUUUCUUCUCUCAUCCCAC